UGCCAGCCGCCGCGGUAAUACGGAGGGGGCGAGCGUUAUUCGGAAUCAUUGGGCGUAAAGGGUGCGCAGGCGGAACUUUAAGUCAGUGGUGAAAUCUUGCCGCUUAACGGUAAAAUUGCCAUUGAACCUGAAGUUCUUGAAUGUAGUUGAGGUAGGCGGAAUGUGUUGUGUAGCGGUGAAAUGCAUAGAUAUGACACAGAACGCCAAUUGCGAAGGCAGCUUACUAAGCUACGAUUGACGCUGAGGCACGACAGCGGGGGGAGCGAACACGAUUAGAAA
This 279-nucleotide ribosomal RNA is filed under the name uncultured bacterium. RNAcentral describes it as "partial 16S ribosomal RNA". It matches the Rfam family "Bacterial small subunit ribosomal RNA", at positions 506 to 784 of the family's 1533-position model. The record is from RNAcentral.